AACGCACAUUGCGCCCUUUGGUAUUCCGAAGGGCAUGCCUGUUUGAGUGUCAUAUAGACUCAUCUAAUCGGGUUUCCGAUAACGAUGAUUUGGAUGGCUGCCAUUUACUCUGGCUCAUCUUAAAUGCCUUAGUGGAAUAGUGUAAUAAGUUUAUCGCUUUAUCCACUCUAAUAAAUUGUUUAAUCUCUUGACCUCAAAUCAGGUAGGACUACCCGCUGAACUUAA
This 225-nucleotide unclassified non-coding RNA is filed under the name uncultured fungus. RNAcentral's name for it is "sequence contains ITS2". The stretch from base 1 to 52 matches the Rfam family "5.8S ribosomal RNA", at positions 103 to 154 of the family's 154-position model. The record is from RNAcentral. Lineage: Eukaryota; Fungi.